This 1656-nucleotide ribosomal RNA is filed under the name Triticum aestivum (bread wheat). RNAcentral's name for it is "partial small subunit ribosomal RNA". The record is from RNAcentral. Lineage: Eukaryota; Viridiplantae; Streptophyta; Magnoliopsida; Poales; Poaceae.
AUGGCUGCUCCGGCUCUCAAGUUCGCCGCCGUCAUGCUCCUGGCCGCCCUCUGCGCGGCGGCGCUCGCCCCGGCCACGUCGGGACAGCCGACGGACGCGCUAGCAACGUGCAUCGGGCGCUGCGGCAAGGGUUCGUCUGUCAUUGGAAGUGCCAUUGGGGAAGCUGAACAUGUCGCAGAGGUGGAGCGCGAGGUGGAGGCCGGGCGCGUGGCGCGCGAGGUGGAGCGCGAGCGUGAGGCGUGGGCGGCUGGCCCGGGGUGGCUUCUGCGCGACGAGCAGGCGCGGUCGGCCACUGGAUCUGGGGCGGCUCUGCCCGGAUCUGGUGGCGUGUCUGCGGCGGUUCCGAAUCCAUGGGAGGUUGCUGCUGCUUCGACUGGGGGUGGUUCCUCCUCGUCGGUGCCGCGCCAGGCUCCGGCCCGGGGCCCGGUGGUUCCGACGCGGCAGCCUCCUCGUUCCUUGGCUGCUGGUGCCGCUUCUCGCCCUUCCCAGCGUUUCGGCUAUGGCUCCUCCUCUGCGCAGAUUAGGGAUCGCCGUGGCCCGCCCUCUGGUCCAGGAUCUACCUCCGCCUGCCUUGGGGAUGGCCUUCUCCCUCCUCCGCCGCCCCCUCCCCGCCAUCACUCAGCUGCUCCAAACACCUCUCCUUCCCUUACAUGCUUCGCAUGCCAUCGACCGGGCCAUUUCCAAUCCAGAUGCGCCAACCCUCCCUUUUGUCUGAUAUGCCAUUCUGAUGGACACCUGACUGUUGAUUGUCGCAACCGCAUCAAGACUCCCUCCUUCGUGCAUUUUGGGACUGGUCUUCCAGGGUGUUCUUUCUUUGCCCUUGACUGUGAUGUGCCUGUGGUGGUGGCCGCUCCGUCGCUCCCUAAUGCGGCUAUCAUCUCCGUUCACGAUCAAAAGAUCUCUCCGCGGACCUUGUUGGAUGGUUUGAGGAUCUGGGAUGAAGGGGGUUGGGACUGGCAAAUGCGCCAGCUUUCGGAGUCUGAGUUUGCGGUGGUGUUCCCCUCAAAGGAGUGUCUACGGAUGAUUUCGUCGUGCACGAGCUUCGCUCUGCCUCUCAACCAGUUGGUUGUUUCUGUUAAGGCGGCCACUUGUGGUGCGAAGGCUGUUGGUCCUCUGUCCAAGACUUGGGUGCUAGUAGAUGAUGUGCUAGUGGGUUUGCGGUCGGCUGAGUUCAUGAUGGCGUUUGGGACUCUCAUUGGCAAACCCGUGGAGGUUGAUUCUGAAUCUUUGGGUAAAGUUGGCCCGGUGCGUCUCAGUAUUUGGUGUGUGGAUCCUGUUUGCGUGCGUGGUUCUGUGGAUGUGUGCCCGUCUUCUAAGGGUGUUCGACUGCGGGUUCGGGUCGAAGGUGCUGAUGCCUUCCAGGCCCCACCUCCGCCGCCUCCUUCCAAUUCAGUUGAUCCCGAUGAUGAUAAGGAGGGACAUGGAUCGGCUGGUGGGCAGAACCCAAGUGGUGGUACUGACCCACGUUUCACCCAGUCUGAGUGGGAUGGUCUGGACCCUGAGGUGAAGGAACUAUUUGAAGACAAUGCCCCGGUUGAUAAAGCUCAGAAGGAUGCGGGUGCCAAUCAGGUGAUGGAUGAAGCCCGUCUUGGGAACCCUGCUAGCAAGGGCACCCCGAUUUCUGCUGUCUGUUCCAAUCUUCCUGCUCGCCCGUAG